AAUUUACGCGGGCGGCAUGCGUAACACAUGCAAGUCGUACGAGAAAGCCCCUUUCGGGGGGCGAGUAAAGUGGCGCACGGGUGAGUAACGCGUGGGUAAUCUACCCCGGUCUGGGGGAUAACGCACCGAAAGGUACGCUAAUACCGCAUGACCCGUUGGGUUCUUGAACCUGACGGAAAAGGUGGCCUCUACAUGUAAGCUACCGAACCGGGAUGAGCCCGCGUCCUAUUAGCUAGUUGGUGGGGUAAAGGCCUACCAAGGCGACGAUGGGUAGCUGGUCUGAGAGGACGGCCAGCCACACUGGAACUGGUACACGGUCCAGACUCCUACGGGAGGCAGCAGUGAGGAAUAUUGCGCAAUGGGGGAAACCCUGACGCAGCGAUGCCGCGUGGGUGAAGAAGGCCUUCGGGUCGUAAAGCCCUGUCAAACGGGAAGAACAGUUGGUGGACGAAUAAUCCACCGGCCUGACGGUACCGUUGAAGGAAGCACCGGCUAACUCCGUGCCAGCAGCCGCGGUAAGACGGAGGGUGCAAGCGUUAUUCGGAUUUAUUGGGCGUAAAGAGCAUGUAGGCGGUCGAUCAAGUCUGAUGUGAAAGCCCGGGGCUUAACCUCGGAAGGGCGUCGGAAACUGGUCGACUUGAGUUCGGGAGAGGAAAGCGGAAUUCCGGGUGUAGAGGUGAAAUUCGUAGAUAUCCGGAGGAACACCGGUGGCGAAGGCGGCUUUCUGGACCGAAACUGACGCUGAGAUGCGAAAGCGUGGGGAGCAAACAGGAUUAGAUACCCUGGUAGUCCACGCUGUAAACGAUGGGCACUAGGUGUGGGGGGUUUUUAAUCCCUCCGUGCCGCAGCUAACGCAUUAAGUGCCCCGCCUGGGGAGU
RNAcentral lists this ribosomal RNA (878 nucleotides) under uncultured bacterium. RNAcentral's name for it is "bacterial SSU rRNA". It matches the Rfam family "Bacterial small subunit ribosomal RNA", at positions 28 to 881 of the family's 1533-position model. The record is from RNAcentral.